GAUGAACGCUGGCGGCGUGCCUAAUACAUGCCAGUCGAGCGAACGGACGAGAAGCUUGCUUCUCUGAUGUUAGCGGCGGACGGGUGAGUAACACGUGGAUAACCUACCUAUAAGACUGGGAUAACUUCGGGAAACCGGAGCUAAUACCGGAUGAUAUUUUGAACCGCAUGGUUCAAAAGUGAAAGACGGUCUUGCUGUCACUUAUAGAUGGAUCCGCGCUGCAUUAGCUAGUUGGUAAGGUAACGGCUUACCAAGGCAACGAUGCAUAGCCGACCUGAGAGGGUGAUCGGCCACACUGGAACUGAGACACGGUCCAGACUCCUACGGGAGGCAGCAGUAGGGAAUCUUCCGCAAUGGGCGAAAGCCUGACGGAGCAACGCCGCGGGAGUGAUGAAGGUCUUCGGAUCGUAAAACUCUGUUAUUAGGGAAGAACAUAUGUGUAAGUAACUGUGCACAUCUUGACGGUACCUAAUCAGAAAGCCACGGCUAACUACGU
This 496-nucleotide ribosomal RNA is filed under the name uncultured bacterium. Its description in RNAcentral is "partial 16S ribosomal RNA". It matches the Rfam family "Bacterial small subunit ribosomal RNA", at positions 28 to 506 of the family's 1533-position model. The record is from RNAcentral.